Molecule: ribosomal RNA, 455 nt
Filed under: uncultured bacterium
Lineage: Bacteria
Description: bacterial SSU rRNA
Rfam family: Bacterial small subunit ribosomal RNA
Source: RNAcentral
AGGCAGCAGUGGGGAAUAUUGGACAAUGGGCGCAAGCCUGAUCCAGCCACGCCGCGUGAGUGAUGAAGGCCUUCGGGUUGUAAAGCUCUGUGGGGAGGGACGAAAACGGCGCACAAGAAACGGUGCGUCCUUGACGGUACCUCCUUAGCAAGCACCGGCUAACUCUGUGCCAGCAGCCGCGGUAAUACAGAGGGUGCGAACGUUGCUCGGAAUUACUGGGCGUAAAGCGCGUGUAGGCGGGUCGGCAAGUCAGGCGUGAAAUCCCCAGGCUCAACCUGGGAACUGCGCUUGAAACUGCCGGUCUUGAGUAUCGGAGAGGGUGGCGGAAUUCCUGGUGUAGAGGUGAAAUUCGUAGAUAUCAGGAGGAACACCGGUGGCGAAGGCGGCCACCUGGACGAUUACUGGCGCUGAGACGCGAAAGCGUGGGGAGCAAACAGGAUUAGAUACCCUGGUAG